RNAcentral lists this ribosomal RNA (253 nucleotides) under uncultured bacterium. RNAcentral describes it as "partial 16S ribosomal RNA". It matches the Rfam family "Bacterial small subunit ribosomal RNA", at positions 524 to 776 of the family's 1533-position model. The record is from RNAcentral.
UACGUAGGGUGCAAGCGUUGUCCGGAAUUAUUGGGCGUAAAGAGCUCGUAGGCGGUUUGUCGCGUCUGCUGUGAAAACGCGAGGCUCAACCUCGCGCCUGCAGUGGGUACGGGCAGACUAGAGUGCGGUAGGGGAGAUUGGAAUUCCUGGUGUAGCGGUGGAAUGCGCAGAUAUCGGGAGGAACACCCGUAGCGAAGGCGGCACUCUGGGCCGGAACUGACGCUGAGGAGCGAAAGCGUGGGGAGCAAACAGG